GACCCAGGUGCUCACCGCGCGACGCAUCGAGCAGCCGCCUCCUAAGCGAAAGGUCGUAGGUUCGACUCCUACCUGGGGCACCG
RNAcentral lists this transfer RNA (83 nucleotides) under Nocardioides sp. Root1257. RNAcentral describes it as "tRNA-Arg". The record is from RNAcentral. RNAcentral also lists the same sequence under 1 other name. Lineage: Bacteria; Bacillati; Actinomycetota; Actinomycetes; Propionibacteriales; Nocardioidaceae.